This is a non-coding RNA of Mugil cephalus (flathead mullet), 565 nucleotides long. The record is from the annotation of a RefSeq genome assembly. NCBI's taxonomy places the organism in Eukaryota, Metazoa, Chordata, Actinopteri, Mugiliformes, Mugilidae.
CCAAAUCUGACAUAAGUGAGAGUCUCUGCUUUAGGACAUGGUUGGUAUCAGACACAGUCUCCUCAGCUUGUUGCUGUUUGUGUUCUGGAUAAAAGGUCUAACUGAUGGAAGUGGUGUCCAGCAGACCGACAUACUGUGGGGGAAGAUGGGUGAAAAUGCAACAAUACACUGCAGCCACACAAAGGCAGCUGACUAUUUUGAGAUGUACUGGUACAGACAGCUGCCUGGAGAAAAUAUGAAGCUGAUCGUGUUCACAAGUACAGCCAAAGCAGAUCAUGACUUUGGAAAUUUCAGCAAAGAGAAAUUCUCAGCUAUCAAGACUGUAGCUGAUAGUGGGACGUUCACAGUGAAGAAUCUGCAGCCAGGAGAUAAAGGCUUGUAUUUCUGUGCUGUGAGUAAACACAGUGAUACAGACGCAUUUAAUAGCUCAACAAAAACCUCCUCUGCUCUGUUCCCGUUUGUAUUUAUCAGCUCAGCUGUAGAGGGACCUCAAGUACAACCACAGUAAUGUGACACUCCCACAUCUUCAUCUCUCUGUAAUAUCAGACCUCCCCUCACACAUUCU